UGGCUCAGAUUGAACGCUGGCGGAAUGCUUUACACAUGCAAGUCGAACGGUAGAGGGGGCAACCCUUGAGAGUGGCGAACGGGUGAGUAAUAUAUCGGAACGUGCCCAGUCGUGGGGAUAACGUAGCGAAAGUUACGCUAAUACCGCAUACGAUCUAAGGAUGAAAGUGGGGGACCGCAAGGCCUCAUGCUCCUGGAGCGGCCGAUGUCUGAUUAGCUAGUUGGUGGGGUAAGAGCCUACCAAGGCGACGAUCAGUAGCUGGUCUGAGAGGACGACCAGCCACACUGGAACUGAGACACGGUCCAGACUCCUACGGGAGGCAGCAGUGGGGAAUUUUGGACAAUGGACGCAAGUCUGAUCCAGCCAUUCCGCGUGCAGGAUGAAGGCCCUCGGGUUGUAAACUGCUUUUGUACAGAACGAAAAGGUCUCUAUUAAUACUAGGGGCUCAUGACGGUACUGUAAGAAUAAGCACCGGCUAACUACGUG
Molecule: ribosomal RNA, 486 nt
Filed under: uncultured bacterium
Lineage: Bacteria
Description: bacterial SSU rRNA
Rfam family: Bacterial small subunit ribosomal RNA
Source: RNAcentral